Molecule: long non-coding RNA, 287 nt
Filed under: Rattus norvegicus (Norway rat)
Lineage: Eukaryota; Metazoa; Chordata; Mammalia; Rodentia; Muridae
Description: long non-coding RNA NONRATT015149
Source: RNAcentral
UUUGCUGUAUUCUGGCUGUGUCUCUCAGGAGCGAUCUACAUCCGGCUCCUGUCGGUCUGCACUUCUUUGCUUCAUCCAUGCAAGACCACUUUCAAAGUAAGGCUAGCAGUACAGGUCUUUUUGUCUCAUUUAGGAUAUUUUUGGGUUUUAUUGUUUCUUUAAGAGAAUGUCUUACACUGCAGAACAGGCUCACCUGUAACUCACUAAGCAGCCCAGGCUGACUUGAAACUUGCACUGAUUCUCUGCUUCAACCACCUCUCCGUCACACCAGAUGUUCCGAAACAAAA